ACGUGGUAUCCUGUCUGAAUAUGGGGGGACCAUCCUCCAAGGCUAAAUACUCCUGACUGACCGAUAGUGAACCAGUACCGUGAGGGAAAGGCGAAAAGAACCCCGGCGAGGGGAGUGAAAAAGAACCUGAAACCGUGUACGUACAAGCAGUGGGAGCCUCUUUAUGGGGUGACUGCGUACCUUUUGUAUAAUGGGUCAGCGACUUAUAUUCUGUAGCAAGGUUAACCGAAUAGGGGAGCCGAAGGGAAACCGAGUCUUAACUGGGCGUUAAGUUGCAGGGUAUAGACCCGAAACCCGGUGAUCUAGCCAUGGGCAGGUUGAAGGUUGGGUAACACUAACUGGAGGACCGAACCGACUAAUGUUGAAAAAUUAGCGGAUGACUUGUGGCUGGGGGUGAAAGGCCAAUCAAACCGGGAGAUAGCUGGUUCUCCCCGAAAGCUAUUUAGGUAGCGCCUCGUGAAUUCAUCUCCGGGGGUAGAGCACUGUUUCGGCAAGGGGGUCAUCCCGACUUACCAACCCGAUGCAAACUGCGAAUACCGGAGAAUGUUAUCACGGGAGACACACGGCGGGUGCUAACGUCCGUCGUGAAGAGGGAAACAACCCAGACCGCCAGCUAAGGUCCCAAAGUCAUGGUUAAGUGGGAAACGAUGUGGGAAGGCCCAGACAGCCAGGAUGUUGGCUUAGAAGCAGCCAUCAUUUAAAGAAAGCGUAAUAGCUCACUGGUCGAGUCGGCCUGCGCGGAAGAUGUAACGGGGCUAAACCAUGCACCGAAGCUGCGGCAGCGACGCUUAUGCGUUGUUGGGUA
Molecule: ribosomal RNA, 805 nt
Filed under: Escherichia coli
Lineage: Bacteria; Pseudomonadati; Pseudomonadota; Gammaproteobacteria; Enterobacterales; Enterobacteriaceae
Description: partial 23S ribosomal RNA
Rfam family: Bacterial large subunit ribosomal RNA
Source: RNAcentral